GUGCUUGCUUCGGCAGCACCUAUACUAAAAUUGGAACGAUACAGAGAAGAUUAGCAUGGCCUCUGUGCAAGGAUGACAUGCAAAUUCGUGAAGCGUUUCAUAUUUUU
This 107-nucleotide small nuclear RNA is filed under the name Meriones unguiculatus (Mongolian gerbil). The record is from RNAcentral. Lineage: Eukaryota; Metazoa; Chordata; Mammalia; Rodentia; Muridae.